AAGGGUGUUGUUCAGUUUCCACGUGAAUA
This 29-nucleotide non-coding RNA is filed under the name Mus musculus (house mouse). The record is from RNAcentral. Lineage: Eukaryota; Metazoa; Chordata; Mammalia; Rodentia; Muridae.